ACGGAGGGUGCAAGCGUUGUUCGGAAUCACUGGGCGUAAAGGGCGCGUAGGCGGCCCGAUAAGGCUCGCGUGAAAGUCCGGGGCUCAACCCCGGAUCGGCGCGGGCGACUGUUGGGCUCGAGCACGGUAGGGGCAGGCGGAAUUCCGGGUGUAGCGGUGGAAUGCGUAGAGAUCUGGAAGAACACCGGUGGCGAAGGCGGCCUGCUGGGCCGGAAGGCCUUCAUUGGUCUGUGCUGACGCUGAGGCGCGACAGCGUGGGGAGCAAACAGGA
This 271-nucleotide ribosomal RNA is filed under the name uncultured prokaryote. RNAcentral describes it as "partial 16S ribosomal RNA". It matches the Rfam family "Bacterial small subunit ribosomal RNA", at positions 525 to 777 of the family's 1533-position model. The record is from RNAcentral.